Long non-coding RNA from Gallus gallus (chicken), 1741 nucleotides. RefSeq lists it as uncharacterized. Lineage: Eukaryota; Metazoa; Chordata; Aves; Galliformes; Phasianidae. The record is from RefSeq and is a predicted model, not a curated record. The transcript has 3 exons.
GAAGCAUGUUAUAUAGACGUAUUUCCAAGCAUAAUAGUGGAGUUCCUUAGAGAGAGAGAGAAAAAAAAAAAGGCAUAAAAAUAAAUAUGAAAUAGCUGAUGAUAUACUCAGGAAAUAUCUUCUUAAGCUUUGAUGAAAUAUUUCAUAAAGAUUAAAGAAAAUAUUCCAACUCUAAGUUUAAUAAAAUAUAAGAUUAAGAUCACAAAAAUGGUCCCUAUGAAAAUAGCUUAAAAUAUGACAUGAACUAUUUCAUUAUAUUGCAUAGAAUAUUAAUGAAAUUUUAUUCCUCAGACACUGUAAUAUUCAUGAAGUUUCAUAGGAAUCAUCCCCACAUGGACCAGUAGCUUUCCUUUUUUAAUCAAACUGCCAGCCCUCUCCAUAUGCAUAUUUCAGCCAUCACCCACCUUACUAGAGAGGCUUUAUCUGGGUUGCUUAAUCACAGCACAUUUCACGUUUGUGGAUAAUUUGUACAAUCAGUCAAGUUCACCCCUUGAUCCCUAGCCCAUCUGUAUAUUGCAUCUCUUCCUUGGUGGCCUGAGGUGUCAAGGGUCCACUGAGCCAGAAAUAAUUCACCCUGAUGUCAGCCCAGAUCUACUUGAGCCACACUGAUCUUAGCAGCGUGACCUACCUGCUGGUUGCUUUGAUGUUCUUCAGUGGUACAAUUCAGGUACAUGGACAUCUAUGUGUUGUACCUUUACAACCAUGUUCUCUACCUCGGCAGUAUUAUCCUUCCUCAGUGAGACAGCCCAGAUGGGUUUGCCUCUUUGCUGCCAGUUGUUUUGCUUCUGUUGCUGUAACCAUUCCCCAUAGGGAAUUUGCCACUAUUCAGGAGUCAGUAUAGAGAUAGAGCACUGACCACUUUUCUCAAUCAGCAUUAUGUAAAGCUAGCUGGAUGGCCUUAAAUUCUUCAGAUUGGUUCUAUUUACCUGCCAAAGUGGCAUAUAACAUCAUCUUUGAAGGGAAACCUUUCCUUCAGCCUGAGAAGAGUCACCUCCAGAGGCUGUAGGCUUGUACUCCCUUUGUAGAGAAGGAUCCCAACUGCCUGGCUUCUAUGCCCUCUAUUUCCAGGCUACUGGCCUCAUUAUCCCAGCAUCAAAGCAUCCAGGUGGCAAUGCACUCAACUGGUAGAUGGCUGACAUCCUUUCACAUGUCUCACAGCUCACUCAGGGAUAGAGGUUGUGUGGUUACUGCCUCAUUUAUGAAUUCUGCUUUUCCUUUCUCCCAUUUCUAUGAUAGCUCUAUUUUCAAGUCUGUGAUAUUUUAUAUAUAUACAAAACAAGUGAUGGAUAAUGCAGUUGCUUACUACCCACUGACUGAUGACAAGCCAGUCCCUCACCAGCAGCUGCUGCCCUAGCCAACGCCUCACAGUUUUAUCAUUAUGAUGUCAUAUGGUACAGAAUAAUCCUUCGGGUCAACUGUCCUGAUUCUAUCCCCUUCCACCUCCCUGUGCACCCCCAGUUCCUUGCUGGCAGGGCAGUAUGAGAAGCUGAAAACACUGUGAAAGUGGGGAGCUCAGCACUGGACACAGUCCUCACUGGUAUUCAGUAGAAAGGAAAGUUCAACUCUACCUACCUACUGGCAAAGCUUUGCUUAAGAUCCCAGCCCCAAGAGGCCCCAAAAAUACAAGUCUGAAUUUGCUUGAAAAGCUCUAAGAGUGGAGAAGCAGGAAAUGGACUCCAGCAUCACUGAUGUCUGGCACAGAGUGGCUAUCAGAAAGAAAAAACAGCAUUUGACAGACAAA